Molecule: transfer RNA, 74 nt
Filed under: Lateolabrax japonicus (Japanese seabass)
Lineage: Eukaryota; Metazoa; Chordata; Actinopteri; Acropomatiformes; Lateolabracidae
Description: tRNA-Lys
Rfam family: tRNA
About the family: Transfer RNA (tRNA) molecules are approximately 80 nucleotides in length.
Source: RNAcentral
CGCUAAGAAGCUAAUUUGGACCUAGCGUUAGCCUUUUAAGCUAAAGAUUGGUGCCUCCCGACCACCCUUAGCGA